GAUGAACGCUGGCAGCGUGCCUAAUACAUGCAAGUCGAGCGAACGGACGAGAAGCUUGCUUCUCUGAUGUUAGCGGCGGACGGGUGAGUAACACGUGGAUAACCUACCUAUAAGACUGGGAUAACUUCGGGAAGCCGGAGCUAAUACCGGAUAAUAUUUUGAACCGCAUGGUUCAAAAGUGAAAGACGGUCUUGCUGUCACUUAUAGAUGGAUCCGCGCUGCAUUAGCUAGUUGGUAAGGUAACGGCUUACCAAGGCAACGAUGCAUAGCCGACCUGAGAGGGUGAUCGGCCACACUGGAACUGAGACACGGUCCAGACUCCUACGGGAGGCAGCAGUAGGGAAUCUUCCGCAAUGGGCGAAAGCCUGACGGAGCAACGCCGCGUGAGUGAUGAAGGUCUUCGGAUCGUAAAACUCUGUUAUUAGGGAAGAACAUAUGUGUAAGUAACUGUGCACAUCUUGACGGUACCUAAUCAGAAAGCCACGGCUAACUACGUG
This 497-nucleotide ribosomal RNA is filed under the name uncultured bacterium. RNAcentral's name for it is "partial 16S ribosomal RNA". It matches the Rfam family "Bacterial small subunit ribosomal RNA", at positions 28 to 507 of the family's 1533-position model. The record is from RNAcentral.